This 85-nucleotide transfer RNA is filed under the name Binatus sp. (SeqCode). RNAcentral describes it as "tRNA-Leu". It matches the Rfam family "tRNA". Rfam says of the family: Transfer RNA (tRNA) molecules are approximately 80 nucleotides in length. The record is from RNAcentral. Lineage: Bacteria; Candidatus Binatota; Binatia (SeqCode); Binatales (SeqCode); Binataceae (SeqCode). RNAcentral also lists the same sequence under 1 other name.
GCCGGGGUGGCGAAAUGGCAGACGCAGAGGACUUAAAAUCCUCUGGAGCGAAAGUUCCGUGCGGGUUCGAGUCCCGCCCCCGGCA